AUUGAACGCUGGCGGCAGGCCUAACACAUGCAAGUCGAACGAGCGGCGGACGGGUGAGUAAUGCAUGGGGAUCUGCCUGAUGGAGGGGGAUAACUACGGGAAACUGUAGCUAAUACCGCAUACCAUAGGAUGAGCCCAAGUGGGAUUAGCUAGUUGGUGAGGUAAAGGCUCACCAAGCCGACGAUCCCUAGCUGGUCUGAGAGGAUGACCAGCCAAACUGGGACUGAGACACGGCCCAGACUCCUACGGGAGGCAGCAGUGGGGAAUAUUGCGCAAUGGGGGCAAGCCUGACGCAGCCAUGCCGCGUGAAUGAAGAAGGCCUUCGGGUUGUAAAGUACUUUCAGUAGGGAGGCGUUACCGACAGAAGAAGCACCGGCUAACUCCGUGCCAGCAGCCGCGGUAAUAC
This 406-nucleotide ribosomal RNA is filed under the name uncultured bacterium. Its description in RNAcentral is "partial 16S ribosomal RNA". It matches the Rfam family "Bacterial small subunit ribosomal RNA", at positions 29 to 526 of the family's 1533-position model. The record is from RNAcentral.